UAAACUAAGUGACAGAUGAGACUUAGUAGUUUUGAGCAAGACUAAUGGAGCGAGACUAGAACCUCCUUGGCCAGCUAACUUCUUUCUUUCCUUCCCUAUUCCAUUCCUCUGCUCUUCUUUGCCUUGCUAUUGCUGCCCUCCAAAUAAUAGCAGCAGCAAGGUCCCUGGAAAACAGAUUUAAAAAGAGGAGCAGGACAUUUUUAUUUGAUGCUUGCUGUGCCAAGUUUCAUUAAGCUGUUUUGCUGGGGUUUCCGUUUUUCCCUCUGUGAUUUUGGUGUAAAUUUAUUACGCUUCCAACAUGUGGGCCAAUGCUUCUUUUCAGCAUAAUGCUAAUUGAUUACAGAGACCAGAGCUGGAACUUGGACAAGACAGAGCUGCAAAUGGAACACCAGACAAGCCUGAGAUGAAGAUCGUUUGUUUUACAUUCUUCUUACCACAUACAAAAGGGAACACACAGAAGAAAGAUGAGUAUUAUUUGUUUCAAACACUACCACGAAACAUUUUCAUAAAGUAUAUAGUAGAUAUUAGGAAGUUAGGUGCUUUGGAAUGCUAAGCCUAGGGAUUUGUCACCAAAGAAACUCACAUGGAAAGCACCUGACAGAUGAAAUCAGGAAAUGGCUAAAUAAAAUGAGUGGAUCACAGUGGUUUUCUCGGUGGCCACACAGCGAAGGUUAAGAAACCACAGAAUUGGGAAUUCUUGGGCUUGACUCUUGAUUGUGAAACAGUGGCAAGUCCAGGUAGCCUGUUAGUGUCUUACCCGCCCCACCUCCUUACCAGGGCUAAUGAGCAUCAUAUACAAUGAUGAAUGGGAAAUUGUCUUGAAAACUGAAACUUAGGUACUUUUAAAGAGGCUGUUGUUACUCAUUAAUUCUAGUUCAUAAUAAAGAUAAUUUAAAUGAGGCUUGUUUCUCCUUUGCAAGUGGAAUCUUUCCUCAGUUAUGAUAAUACUAUUGAUAAUAUUUAUUUAUGUAUUUUAAAGAUUUUAUUUUUUUGAGUAACCUCUACACUCAACGUGGGGCUCCACUCACAGCCCCAAGAUGGAGAGUUGCACACCCCACUGACCGAGUCAGUAACAAUUUAGCCUCCAUCAGAGUGCCUUUCUAGGAGCUUUGGGAUCCAGUACAGUAUGCCACAGGAUCUGGGAAGAGUCUUGCCCAUCCAUGCACAGGCAACACAGCUUAAGGCCAAGAUCUUCUUGGCCUGUGAUCUUUCCUUUGGAAGAAAAGGAGUGUUGUGAGUGAGCAUCCGGUUUCCCCAGCGGUGUGGGACCCUGCCAAAGAGGCUCAUUUCUCUCUCACCCUAUCCAGACUGGUGAGGUCUAAUCUCAGGAUCGUGAGAGGAAGCCCCGUGUCAAGCUCCAGCCUGCCUAAGAUUCUCUCUCUGUCUCCCUUACCCUUCCCUGCUAACCCUAUGCUCCCUUGUUCUCUCCUUAAAAAAACAAAAAAACAAAAAAAACUAAAAGCACUGGGCUUGGUUGACAUUUGUCUCCAUUUUAUCGUGUCAAAUGCCCUGUGGGGCUCUGUGGUAGUGAUUCCUCACAUCUUGGAUCCCAAAAUGAAUAUGGCCUAUUGGAAACUAAAUAAAAUAAAUAUGAAUAGCGAAUAAAACCAACAAGCAUGGCCAGGUUCCAGCUUACUAAAAGCCUCAGCCAUGCUAAAGAUAGGGCUUUGAAGAGAUUCCACAGGAGAGAGGACAAGGAGGACAGGAGCUGUGUUGUAAGGACUUCUGCUUUGUAAGCUGGUCUUCCUCCCCCUAAACCCCUUUCAAUUGCUCAAGAAAAGUCUUGGCUUCUCACAAAAUUGCCUUUGACUGUUUUAGGAUUGCUUCAAGUUCUGCAAGAAGAAAGUGAUCCCACUAAAGAGGCUUAAAAAGUCCAAAUAAAUAUUUCAUUCAUUGUGUUAGAAUAAAAGAAAGUCUUUUUCAAACA
Long non-coding RNA from Canis lupus familiaris (dog), 1927 nucleotides. RefSeq lists it as uncharacterized. NCBI's taxonomy places the organism in Eukaryota, Metazoa, Chordata, Mammalia, Carnivora, Canidae. The transcript is spliced from 5 exons. The record is from RefSeq and is a predicted model, not a curated record.